Molecule: ribosomal RNA, 117 nt
Filed under: bacterium CG2_30_33_46
Lineage: Bacteria
Also listed under: 5 other names
Source: RNAcentral
UCCGGUGCUUUAAGCGAUGGGGAAACACCCGACCCCAUACCGAACUCGGAAGUUAAGCCCAUUAGAGCCGAUGGUACUUGGAUCGGAAGGUCCUGGGAGAGUAGGCCAGUGCCGGGA